AAUAACCGUCAAAAUCUUAGAAGACAGAUUGAGGUUCUUAAAUAUAUGGGGUCAAAACGUCUUACAAGUCAUCAAUGCUUAAUAAAUGACGAUAGUGGAUGACUAUUUGUGAGGAUUUGAAUUAAAAUUGAUAUUUUGCAAUGAAGAUGAAUUUACAGCGAAAUAAAGGUCUACCCCACGACAUGCUUAACCGUGGCGAACGAUUCCAAUCAAACUGAUAAAUAAAGAAACUUGUCUUGGCCACAUUGAGCUGAGGAUGCAAGUUUUGCACUGACUAAAUGCUAAAUAAAAUCUACAGGAUAUAAUACUUUAAUAGCAACGUUGAUAAUAAGGCUGGAGC
Long non-coding RNA from Drosophila willistoni, 340 nucleotides. RefSeq lists it as uncharacterized. The record is from RefSeq and is a predicted model, not a curated record. NCBI's taxonomy places the organism in Eukaryota, Metazoa, Arthropoda, Insecta, Diptera, Drosophilidae. The transcript has 3 exons.